CUUCCAAAAUAAUACACAAUCAUAUUUGCAAGCAUGAAUGCACUCAUACCCCAAUCCCAAAUCUUGUAAGAUCUUUUUAGCCUCAUAAUGUGACUUUGGGAGCAUUGUACCUUCAAGAAAAGCAUCAUUCAACAAUUCAAGUAACAUAUCAAAUGAUUUGUUACUCCAAUGAUUAUUUACCUUUAUAUAAAGCAACUUCACA
RNAcentral lists this long non-coding RNA (202 nucleotides) under Elaeis guineensis (African oil palm). RNAcentral's name for it is "long non-coding RNA (EGUI_LNC014033)". Lineage: Eukaryota; Viridiplantae; Streptophyta; Magnoliopsida; Arecales; Arecaceae. The record is from RNAcentral.